GGUGUAGCUCAGUGGUGGAGUGCAUGCUAUGCAUGUAUGAUGUCUUGUGUUCAAUCCCCAGGUUACCG
Non-coding RNA from Dallia pectoralis (Alaska blackfish), 68 nucleotides. The record is from the annotation of a GenBank genome assembly. Lineage: Eukaryota; Metazoa; Chordata; Actinopteri; Esociformes; Umbridae.